Molecule: long non-coding RNA, 2307 nt
Organism: Ornithodoros turicata
Lineage: Eukaryota; Metazoa; Arthropoda; Arachnida; Ixodida; Argasidae
Exons: 3
Source: RefSeq, a predicted model, not a curated record
CGGACCGACCCACACAAAUAGUGCAAAUCCGAGAACAUAAUGUAUGGGGUGGGGUGGGGGGACCAGUGUGACGAUCGCGAAAGUUUUUGCGGUUCAUGGCGUCUAUCUAAGAAGGACUCUUGAAUGGCUUUCAAAGUAUGAGCUUUUCAAAAUACUUCCAAUCUCGAGACACCACCUCAUUGGUCAUGACAGCCUAUACAUGUAAUCGUAUCGUGAACGUCUAAAUCAACUAUUUUCGUUCCUUUUUGUAAUCCUCAGUUUGCGUUGUGUUGUGUUGUCUCACGUGUGUGUUGUUUGUCGACACAGGAUCAGCGGGGGGGGGGGGGUCGUAUCGAGCCUCCCCCACCCUGGAGGUCUGGCUACGCCACUGGUUGCGAGCGCAGUCGACAUACAGAAGUAUCCCGUACCGUGAAGACCACCACCCCAAACGUGGUUGCCACGGUUUCGGUUUUGGUCCAUUUGCAUGUCAAAAUUCAGGUAUGUUUAUUUUAAUACACGUACGUAUUUCAAAAUUUUUAAACAUGGUGUGGAUUUUAACUAGGACAGUCUGUUAUAUCGGUAUCUGGCUUUUGUUCAAGACGUCCUUAUUGUAGUUAAUUAAUGAACUUAAUUUAUUAGUCAUCCUUAUUAGUCAUUAUAGUCUUUCUUGGAAAAGAUACACGCCUGUAGAACUCAACUGUGAAAAUGACGUGCUCUCGUGACUUUUUUAUAAAAAUUUGUCCAAGCUGAAACACACACACAAAAUAAACGGGGUGCCACAAACGCGUACUUCGUGGUCGUAGCCAUUUUUAAUAGAGAUUUUUUUAAAUAAAACAACUAGGACUACGUGUACAUUAGUUUCGCACUUACGCGUAUGCGAGUGGAGGAAAACCUGCACCGUGCCAGCACCGUGAAAACUCGAGGAGCGGUGGACUGUUCACUCUGCCCCCACAUUCUCAUUUAUACCGAAACUAAACAGGAGCAGCUUUCCAAGCUAGGGCUCCGGAACGAACCGACAACAGUAGAAAACAAUAAAGAAAAAAGAAAAAAAAGAGAGGAAGGAAGCACAAAAAAGUAUAUCCGCUUGAACCGAAACGGGACAAAAAACAUUACAAACACGUUUUUCUUGUGCCGGCCUUCGGCAUUUAGCAGCCUUUCUGAACCCUGAUGUGGUGUGUGCGGCGUUCCUGGCUGUGUAAACACCAAAGAAUCCCGCUCUGGUGGACGAAGGGACCGGGUAUUCGCUACCACAAGGUUCCAAGGAACGAACCCGCACGGACCACAUGGCUGAGGUUGAUAGGACGUGAUGCCGUCCCACAGAACUUCGAAAUCUCCUUCUGUUAUUUGCACUUCCGAUCGGACGAUUACGUAUUGAACAUGGCACUCGCGGACGAGUCCGGAGUUGGGAGAUUCCGAGGUAGACUGACGUCUGGCGCGACGCCGUCGCUGAACCUGCCGACGGGCAAUCAGCAUGCAGUGCAACAGAAAAACAAGGUACGUAUUACAACGUGUCGUGUAAUAUACACACCCAUACCCCAUACGUAUAUGUACGUAUAUGCACAUACGGAUGUUUUCUGUCUUGCGGGUUUGAGCCUUCUUUGUGUCAGUCACUUUCUCUAAUGCAGGCCAGCCUGUGUAUCCCAGAAGGAUGUGACAGCCAAGCUAGUGAUGGUAAGACUGCAUGGACUGGCUCCAUGGUUCUUGCUUCCCAACCUGGUAACGAAGAAAGCAGCCACGCAUCUGAAACAGUGUGUGCUUCCCCUGCACUUCUGUCUGCCAAUGUAACCAACUUAUCAAGUUUACGGUGCUCCAGCGUGCUCAGUUAUAACCUAUACACUGUUCGGUAACUGAACGGUAUUCUGCAAGACCCGUGUGCAAGACGUUACCUGAUCUAAGAGUGCAUGUUGUGUGUAUGUGCAGGCUUCCCAACAUGGUAACGAAGAAAGCAGCCACGCAUCUGAAACAGUGCGUGCUUCCCCUGCAAAGUUCUCGGCCCAUGGAGUAACCCUGGACACCAGUGCCGUGCACUUGGCGCUCUUCUUUCCUUUCUGAGGGCCACCGGCCUCCUUCACGAACUGUAGGGGUUUCCUUCCCUCGUCAUCCUUUCAUGUGAACCCUUUUGGAAUGGGGUAGGGUCCUGCACUCAACGCAGGGAAACAUCCCACAUCAUCAUCAUCCAUUCAUCUAUGUUGUUGUUGUUCCCCUGCAUUUCUGUCUCCCGAUGUGAGUGUCGACUCUUACAUUGCAAUACUACUUAUAUAUGACAUAUGCAUGCAAAUUGUCACAAAGUACUGCAAAUAACAUGUGACUCUAUGUGAUACAUGGUUU